AUGGCACACCCGGAGAACCCGUUACUCUUCAAUUUUGGCAUCAAUCAAGAGGAAGAGGAGCAAAACCCUCUGGCCCCCUUGUGGGCGGAGAUGUACCUAGCACUGGAGAUGGUUGCGCAGAUGGAUGCAGAGGCCGAGCAACAGAUUUGGGACCUUGUGCCGGAUCCCGUGCUUGUGCCUGCACCUGUGCACCCACAUGAGCUAUAUAACGCGGCCAAUUGGCCGGAAUGGGCAGUGGCCGCCGAGUUUUAUUUCCCCGACAACCAUAUAGCAUUCCAUGCAUUCUAUGGCGGUGGCGGUGGCCAUGGCAUGGUUGUGGUCGUGGUCGUGGCGCGGGCCGUGGACGUGGUGCUACUGCCCACGACCAUGGUGGAGGCCGUGGUGGUGGUGGUGGUGGCGAUGCUAUUGGCGGUGGCCAUGACAGCGACCAUGGCAUCGGCAGGAGCCGUGGUGGUGGUGGUCGUGGCUGCAACUAGCUAG
This 480-nucleotide ribosomal RNA is filed under the name Triticum aestivum (bread wheat). RNAcentral's name for it is "partial small subunit ribosomal RNA". Lineage: Eukaryota; Viridiplantae; Streptophyta; Magnoliopsida; Poales; Poaceae. The record is from RNAcentral.